ACAAUCGAGCGCACUAACUCGCACCUUCCGGCAAGAGACGGCGCGGGCGCGCCCCGCCCGCAAGGUUUUUCGGGAGUCACGGUCUGAGGGCGACCCGGGCGACCCGGUCGCCCGUGCCCGGCUGCCACUGACCGCUCCAACGCCGCCAGGGACGACCCGCCAGCUGCCUCCGGAGCCGAGCAGGCCCCGAACCUUCCCAUUCCUAGAUUUCCAGCCGCACAACAGCCGCGGUGCCCCUGGCUCGACGCAGCUGGCCGGAGGCGCGGAGCUGGUCGUUCGUCCCGCCCGCCGUUCCGCGCCCCUCUCCCGGCUCUUGUUUCCUCGCCUCUUAACGAGGCCUUUGUGAGGAAGGUUGCUGGGCCUUGGGACUCUGACGAUCGGCUGGAAACCAGGCCUGGCCCUGUUUCAGCAUCCCCGCGUGCCAAGCCCUGGGCCGGCGUGCGGGUCCCUGCCCCUGCGAGGAAGCUGGGACUUUUGCAGGCCUGGGUGGAGACGUGUACAUAACAGAGGAAGAGUGUGGAGGAUUGGAGGACUCAGGGCAGCACGGCAGAGGCUGGAACUGCUACCAGAGUGGAGACUGAGCUCCUGGAUCGGGUACAUCCUGAAGUCUGCUGCCUUUGGAUUGGCAUUAUGAGAGCUAAUAAAUCCCCCUUUGAAACCCCCAGAGCUCAGAGGGGCUUUCUAGGCCAGGCAUCAUCAAUGUAUUCCAUCAAUAUCAAAUUAAAUGGGUUUGGAUCACACAA
Molecule: non-coding RNA, 743 nt
Organism: Homo sapiens (human)
Lineage: Eukaryota; Metazoa; Chordata; Mammalia; Primates; Hominidae
Source: RefSeq, a predicted model, not a curated record